AACGCGAAGAACCUUACCUGGGUUGAACUACGCAGGAAAAGCCGUAGAGAUACGGUGUCCGAAAGGGCCUGCGAUAGGUGGUGCAUGGCUGUCGUCAGCUCGUGUCGUGAGAUGUUGGGUUAAGUCCCGCAACGAGCGCAACCCUUGUCCUGUGUUGCCAGCGGAUAAUGCCGGGGACUCGCAGGAGACUGCCGGGGUCAACUCGGAGGAAGGUGGGGACGAAGUCAAGUCAUCAUGCCCCUUACGUCCAGGGCUGCACACAUGCUACAAUGGCCGGUACAAAGGGCUGCGAAACCGCAAGGUGGAGCGAAUCUCAAAAAGCCGGUCUCAGUUCGGAUUGGGGUCUGCAACUCGACCCCAUGAAGUCGGAGUCGCUAGUAAUCGCGAAUCAGCAACGUCGCGGUGAAUACGUUCCCGGGCCUUGUACACACCGCUCGCGA
RNAcentral lists this ribosomal RNA (440 nucleotides) under uncultured bacterium. Its description in RNAcentral is "bacterial SSU rRNA". It matches the Rfam family "Bacterial small subunit ribosomal RNA", at positions 958 to 1399 of the family's 1533-position model. The record is from RNAcentral.